GACUUAAAACUUAUGCCAAAUACUGAAACUAUGUCGGAGCUAACUCUACUCCUCCAGGAGUCGACUCUGUCUUCUUCAUUUGAAAAUUGCAUGGCUUGACCUCUUAACUCUUGCUUUUUUGGACCUUUAAGAUAGAAGUAUCGAGCAUCUUUGAAAUAAGAUUCUAGAUUUUUAAAAUUUCUCCUCAAAUACUUAAAUAUUUUGUUAGUACUAAUUAUAUAUGCAAAUAUUUUAUUAAUCAUCAAAAUCAAACCCAGGAUCAACAGGUCGGAAUCUAGCAAUGAAAUUGACCAAAAAAAUAGAAGAGGGAGAGA
Molecule: long non-coding RNA, 314 nt
Filed under: Elaeis guineensis (African oil palm)
Lineage: Eukaryota; Viridiplantae; Streptophyta; Magnoliopsida; Arecales; Arecaceae
Description: long non-coding RNA (EGUI_LNC060673)
Source: RNAcentral